CCUACGGGAGGCAGCAGUGGGGAAUUUUGGACAAUGGGCGCAAGCCUGAUCCAGCCAUGCCGCGUGAGUGAAGAAGGCCUUCGGGUUGUAAAGCUCUUUAGUCCGGGACGAAAUCGCACGCGUGAAUAUCGCGGGUGGAUGACGGUACCGGAAGAAUAAGCCCCGGCUAACUUCGUGCCAGCAGCCGCGGUAAU
This 194-nucleotide ribosomal RNA is filed under the name uncultured beta proteobacterium. RNAcentral describes it as "partial 16S ribosomal RNA". It matches the Rfam family "Bacterial small subunit ribosomal RNA", at positions 338 to 524 of the family's 1533-position model. The record is from RNAcentral. Lineage: Bacteria; Pseudomonadati; Pseudomonadota; Betaproteobacteria.